CCUACGGGUGGCUGCAGUGAGGAAUAUUGGUCAAUGGACGAGAGUCUGAACCAGCCAAGUAGCGUGAAGGAUGACUGCCCUAUGGGUUGUAAACUUCUUUUAUAAAGGAAUAAAACGAGGCACGUGUGCCUUUUUUCAUGUACUUUAUGAAUAAGGAUCGGCUAACUCCGUGCCCGCAGCCGCGGUAAUACGGAGGAUCCGAGCGUUAUCCGGAUUUAUUGGGUUUAAAGGGAGCGUAGAUGGGUUUUUAAGUAAGUUGUGAAAGUUUGCGGCUCAACCGUAAAAUUGCAAUUGAUACUGGCAGUCUUGAGUACAGUUGAGGUAGGCGGAAUUCGUGGUGUAGCGGUGAAAUGCUUAGAUAUCACGAAGAACCCCGAUUGCGAAGGCAGCUGACUAAACUGUGACUUACAUUGAUGCUCGAAAGUGUGGGUAUCAAACAGGAUUAGAUACCCGGGUAGUC
Molecule: ribosomal RNA, 460 nt
Filed under: uncultured bacterium
Lineage: Bacteria
Description: partial 16S ribosomal RNA
Rfam family: Bacterial small subunit ribosomal RNA
Source: RNAcentral